CUGCUGGUUGCUAGAGGGAGGGCUGAUCAUGUGCAUCCCGUGAUCCAUCCCUGUGGAAAGGUAUUGCCUCUCUCCAAAGGCCCCGCUGGAUGGGGAAGAGCAAAGUAAAGUGCUUUGGGAGGUGGAGAGGGAAGCAAGCCUGCCACAGAGUAAUCCAAGGCAGUGGGAAAAGCCGUAAGGAAGCACUGCGCUCAGUCAAGCAAUCUGCCAUCUUUAGGCAUGCUGUACUGCAGCAGGGUGAGCAGAAGGGAACGUCUGCCUCUAGUUUCAUUGCAAAGUCUUUUUUAGUUGAAAUUGCUGAUAAAGGUGAGACUGAACUGAGGUAAAUGACUAUAGGCACACAUUUUCCUGUUAGCCCUGCACUGAAGAGGGUAACUCCAACAGAGAGGGCAGGCAGACAGCUGAGUUCGUAUAUCGCCACUUAGCUGUCAAAGCCCAAAGUAGAGAGGUCACAUAAUCACAAAAGAAAUAAAGCACAAAGUGAGAUGUAUUAAACCCACAGUAAUCCUGCACUUGAUUCUUUACACCACAUAUUUCAUGAACAAACUUCAGAUGGUGACUUACUUGCUGACAGAGCCUGGAGAAUAAGUAAAAAUACAUAUGUAUAUAUAUGAGCAUUUAAUGAUCUGUUUGAAAUAAAAUACAUAGAAUAAAUGA
Long non-coding RNA from Pezoporus occidentalis (night parrot), 657 nucleotides. RefSeq lists it as uncharacterized. The record is from RefSeq and is a predicted model, not a curated record. The transcript is spliced from 3 exons. NCBI's taxonomy places the organism in Eukaryota, Metazoa, Chordata, Aves, Psittaciformes, Psittacidae.